RNAcentral lists this ribosomal RNA (410 nucleotides) under uncultured crenarchaeote. Its description in RNAcentral is "bacterial SSU rRNA". It matches the Rfam family "Archaeal small subunit ribosomal RNA", at positions 24 to 436 of the family's 1478-position model. The record is from RNAcentral. Lineage: Archaea; Thermoproteati; Thermoproteota.
CCCGACUGCUAUCAGAGUGAGACUAAGCCAUGCGAGUCAACGUAUGAAUAAUACGCGGCGAACGGCUCAGUAACACGUAGUCAACAUGCCCAAAGGACGUGGAUAACCUCGGGAAACUGAGGAUAAACCGCGAUAGGUCAUAAGUACUGGAAUGUUUUAUGGCUCAAAUCUACACGGCCUCUGGAUUGGACUGCGGCCGAUCAGGCUGUUGGUGAGGUAAUGGCCCACCAAACCUGUUACCGGUACGGGCUCUGAGAGGAGGAGCCCGGAGAUGGGCACUGAGACAAGGGCCCAGGCCCUAUGGGGCGCAGCAGGCGCGAAACCUCUGCAAUAGGCGAAAGCUUGACAGGGUUACUCUGGGUGAUUCCCGCUAAGGGAAUCUUUUGGCAUCUCUAAAAACGAUGCAGAAU